CAGCCGCCGCGGGAAUACGAAGGGUGCAAGCGUUAAUCGGAAUUAUUGGGCGUAAAGGGUGCGUAGGCGGUUUGGUAAGUCUCGUGUGGAAUCUUCGGGCUCAACUCGAAGUCUGCACGAGAAACUGCCGGGCUUGAGUGUGGGAGAGGUGAGUGGAAUUUCCGGUGUAGCGGUGAAAUGCGUAGAUAUCGGAAGGAACACCUGUGGCGAAAGCGGCUCACUGGACCAUAACUGACGCUGAUGCACGAAAGCUAGGGGAGCAAACAGGAUUAGAGACCCCAGUAGUCCCUGUCUCUUAUAC
This 301-nucleotide ribosomal RNA is filed under the name uncultured bacterium. RNAcentral's name for it is "partial 16S ribosomal RNA". It matches the Rfam family "Bacterial small subunit ribosomal RNA", at positions 509 to 807 of the family's 1533-position model. The record is from RNAcentral.